CAGGGGAUUGCAGUGGCAAAGCUAGGCUAGGUCUUGGAGGCUGGUGUAAGGCGAUGCGGGUGAAGGCAGGAGGCUGAUGGAAAGACUGGGGGGAAGAAAAGCCGAAAUGGAUUCACGGUGCCUUGGAUGAAGGACGAGAGGGGAACUGCAAGCUCCUUCAACUGGUUCUGUCCGGUGAGAAGUGAUCAAGCUUGGGCUGACAAGAGGCUCAGGGAGCCCUCACGUUCUUUCGCUUUUUUACCUGCCAAUCAAACUGCUACAAGACAACACCCUGAUCUGGCAUGGACAUCGCGGGUCCAAGCCUGUAGCCCCAAAUCGGAUAAUCUCUGCAGCUGAUAACAAGCAAAAGAGAAGCCAGGCAACAGCCAUAUUAAAGAAGAAAACAAUCAACUCUGAGGCGGAGUCUUGCUCUGUUGCCCAGGCUGGAGUGCAGUAGCACAAUCUUGGCUCACCACAACCUCCACCUCCUGAGUUCAAGGGAUUCUCCUGCCUCAGGCUCCUGAGUAGCUGAGAUUACAGGCUCCCACCACCAUGCUCAGCUAAUUUAUCCAACUUAGAAAUAAUGUUUCAUUCAAGAUAAGGCUCGUGAUUUAGGAGAUUGUGACCUGGCUUGCAUCAUUCUAAGACUUCUAUCAUCUGUUUUCAAAACCCAAGGAGGACCUCAUUUUCUGUGUGAUAGUUCCUCAUGCUUUGCCAGCCACUGUGUCUUUAAGGAAGCUUGCCAAGAGUUCCUGGCUGGGAAGGACAGUUCGAGUUCAUCAUAGACAAUGAGCUGGCACCACAUUUUAAGUGACUCACCAA
Molecule: small RNA, 801 nt
Filed under: Pongo abelii (Sumatran orangutan)
Lineage: Eukaryota; Metazoa; Chordata; Mammalia; Primates; Hominidae
Description: sense overlapping
Rfam family: SOX2 overlapping transcript exon 3 (bases 14-289)
Source: RNAcentral